Lepisosteus oculatus (spotted gar) is the source of this 119-nucleotide ribosomal RNA. Lineage: Eukaryota; Metazoa; Chordata; Actinopteri; Semionotiformes; Lepisosteidae. The record is from Ensembl.
ACCAGCAGCCAUAUCACUCUGCAACUCACAACUGGUAACCCACUGAAGCUAAGCAGGUGUGAGCCUGGUCAAUACCUGGAUGGGAGACCUCCUGGGAAAAACUAAGGUUGCUGCUGGAA